RNAcentral lists this small nuclear RNA (107 nucleotides) under Cercocebus atys (sooty mangabey). Lineage: Eukaryota; Metazoa; Chordata; Mammalia; Primates; Cercopithecidae. The record is from RNAcentral.
UUGCUUGUUUCAGCAGCACGUAUACUAAAAUUGGAACAAUACAGAGAAGGUUGGCAUGGCCCCUAAGCAAGGAUGACACGCAAAUUCAUGAAACGUUCCAUUUUUUU